AGCAGCCGCGGUAAUUCCAGCUCCAAUAGCGUAUAUUAAAGUUGUUGCAGUUAAAAGCUCGUAGUUGAAUUUCGGGGUCAGUAGGUCGGUCGUGCCACUGGUAUGAACUGGUUUUACUGAUUCCUCCCUCUUGAAGAGCUGUAAUGCCAUUAAUUUGGUGUUGCAGGGAAUCAGGACUGUUACUUUGAAAAAAUUAGAGUGUUUAAAGCAGGCUUUAGCUUGAAUACAUUAGCAUGGAAUAAUGAAAUAGGACGUUUGAUCCUAUUUUGUUGGUUUCUAGGAUUGACGUAAUGAUUAAUAGGGAUAGUUGGGGGCAUUAGUAUUCAAUUGUCAGAGGUGAAAUUCUUGGAUUUAUUGAAGACUAACUACUGCGAAAGCAUUUGCCAAGGAUGUUUUCAUUAAUCAAGAACGAAAGUUAGGGGAUCGAAGACGAUCAGAUACCGUCGUAGUCUUAACCAUAAACUAUGCCGACUAGGGAUCGGAUGAUGUUAAUUUUUUAAUGACUCAUUCGGCGCCUUAC
RNAcentral lists this ribosomal RNA (520 nucleotides) under uncultured Glomus. RNAcentral's name for it is "SSU rRNA". It matches the Rfam family "Eukaryotic small subunit ribosomal RNA", at positions 569 to 1091 of the family's 1831-position model. Lineage: Eukaryota; Fungi; Glomeromycota; Glomeromycetes; Glomerales; Glomeraceae. The record is from RNAcentral.